This 592-nucleotide ribosomal RNA is filed under the name Arthrobacter sp. RNAcentral's name for it is "bacterial SSU rRNA". It matches the Rfam family "Bacterial small subunit ribosomal RNA", at positions 241 to 843 of the family's 1533-position model. Lineage: Bacteria; Bacillati; Actinomycetota; Actinomycetes; Micrococcales; Micrococcaceae. The record is from RNAcentral.
UCAGCUUGUUGGUGAGGUAAUGGCUCACCAAGGCGACGACGGGUAGCCGGCCUGAGAGGGUGACCGGCCACACUGGGACUGAGACACGGCCCAGACUCCUACGGGAGGCAGCAGUGGGGAAUAUUGCACAAUGGGCGCAAGCCUGAUGCAGCGACGCCGCGUGAGGGAUGACGGCCUUCGGGUUGUAAACCUCUUUCAGUAGGGAAGAAGCGAAAGUGACGGUACCUGCAGAAGAAGCGCCGGCUAACUACGUGCCAGCAGCCGCGGUAAUACGUAGGGCGCAAGCGUUAUCCGGAUUUAUUGGGCGUAAAGAGCUCGUAGGCGGUUUGUCGCGUCUAUCGUGAAAGUCCGAGGCUCAACCUCGGAUCUGCGGUGGGUACGGGCAGACUAGAGUGAUGUAGGGGAGACUGGAAUUCCUGGUGUAGCGGUGAAAUGCGCAGAUAUCAGGAGGAACACCGAUGGCGAAGGCAGGUCUCUGGGCAUUUACUGACGCUGAGGAGCGAAAGCAUGGGGAGCGAACAGGAUUAGAUACCCUGGUAGUCCAUGCCGUAAACGUUGGGCACUAGGUGUGGGGGACAUUCCACGUUUUCCG